RNAcentral lists this transfer RNA (79 nucleotides) under Homo sapiens (human). Its description in RNAcentral is "tRNA-Pro (AGG) 3-1 (TRP-AGG3-1)". It matches the Rfam family "tRNA". From Rfam's summary of the family: Transfer RNA (tRNA) molecules are approximately 80 nucleotides in length. Lineage: Eukaryota; Metazoa; Chordata; Mammalia; Primates; Hominidae. The record is from RNAcentral.
GGCUCGUUGGUCUAGGGGUGUGGUUCUCGCUUAGGGCGGGAGACCCAAGAGGUCCCGGGUUCAAAUCCCGGACGAGCCC